CUCGAGUUGUGUUGAUACACCCAGAAAAUGGAUUACUAAAAAAAAGCUUCCAAAUCCUUUAUAAUGCAAACAGUAGAAUGUACAUAUUUUCUGUAAAUAUUACCAAUCGUUUGUAAAAUGAAUGUCAGAUGCAAUACACAUCACUACCAACGAUUGAUUCAUUUUACUUCGCGGUAUUAGUAACUUUCACGAUUGUCAUUACAGGCAACCGCGACAAAAAUGAAAAUAUAACUUUAUUAGCCUAACUACCGAGUUGUUAAUUGAGUUGCACGGCACUACUUUCCGAUAUUGAUUUCUUCACAAAAGAAGGUCGUAUUAACUCAGAUUCGAGACAGCAAUUAUUUGUGCUCGUCUGCUGCGGGAGAAUGCGAAGACAUUACUUCAAUACUAAGGAAUCUGGGUACUUCGAUACACAAAACGAGCCCUGUCGAGUCCUAGAUUGAUCUCUAUGCUAUUGGAUUUGGUCAAGGACAACUUCAUAAACGCUUUGCAGAUGGUGAUCGGUGGUUCGAUCAGUUGGAUGUUUUCCGGAUUCGUCACGACAGAGGUUCCGUAUCCACUGAGGCUGCGCGUCAAGUCAAUAUUGCAACGGGGCAUAGAGCAGGCCUCACCUAAUGCCGCCAGGGUAUCGUCAGCUUCGUGAUAUUUCAGGAUUGUGUUUGGCUGAGAAGUAAUUACACGCUGGUCCUGGGAGAGGAUAAUGCCGUGGAUCAGACUCAAUCGAUGCAGGAUCAGCUGUCUAUAGUUUAGAUAGUUCAAUGAAUAAUUUAAAAAAGUUAGUUAGUUCAAUUGCUCCCUUGGCCGAGUGGUUAGCGUCAUAACUAACAUGCCGGGUGUUCGGGUUCGAUUCCCGUCUCGACUUGUACUGUGAUCACGCGUAUUCUAGAGCUUGCCACUCAGAAUGCAUUCAAGGCGUGUUAUUUGGCAUAGAAAUCUCAACUAAGUACUAAUAAAAAUGACGCAAGUAAUACUACGUUGAGACGGCGAAGUUCCUCUAGGAACGUUAGUGCCAUUGAAGAAGAAGAAGAAGUUAGUUCAAUAAAUGAACAAAUAUGCAUACAAAAGAUCAAUAAAUUAAAUACAAUAUAUGCAUUAAGGUUGGGUUAACAUAACAUGUUUAGGGUGUAUGUUAAAUCAUCGUUGAACCGAAUGCUUCUACUGGGUUAUACUGGCCGAUUUAACAUUUGUUUACCAUUCUUAUCGCGUAAUAUGUACGAAUCUGGGUCAUGCGAAUAGAAUCAAAUUGGUAGUCAAAAAGAAACCAAUUGAAAUGUCAAUAAUCAGGAAGGAAACAAGUUUCUUUUCUUAAAAUAAACCACAUAGAGAAAGUAUCGUUAUGAAAGACAAAAAUAAUCUAAUUACAUUAAAUGAAAGAACUGAAUUUUUUCAUCAAUUAAUGCGAGCGUUUGAAAUCAUGAAAGCACAACUGACAAUUCGGUAAAUUUGCAGAAAUUAGUUUUGGUAUCUUCAGAAAUUUCAGUCUUAUUGACUUCAAAAGUCCUCUAAACUUAAUUGUAAUUCAAUUUUACUUCUCGCCAAAUGUUAGGUUUUAAUUAUUUCGAACACUAGAGUUGUAUUAUUUGAACUUUUUUCUUUCUAAAAAUACGAAUUACCCAAAUUACAACCUUUAUUUCAAUUCUAUUUCGGUCACAAAAGGUUUAUAAACAAAGCCCGAGUGAUGAAAACGUUUGCUCUUUUUAUAUGAGAAACGUUUGACAGCAUGGGGAAAAAAAGCUGUAAGAUUUUUUUUUCAACCAAAAUGCGCUUGAAAAAUAGAUUCAAGUAGAUUCAAAA
This is a long non-coding RNA of Toxorhynchites rutilus septentrionalis, 1794 nucleotides long. RefSeq lists it as uncharacterized. Lineage: Eukaryota; Metazoa; Arthropoda; Insecta; Diptera; Culicidae. The record is from RefSeq and is a predicted model, not a curated record. The transcript is spliced from 3 exons.